GUAAGCUACUAAGAGCGAAUGGUGGAUGCCUUGACUGGUAAAGGCGAUGAAGGACGUACUAGACUGCGAUAAGCUACGGGGAGCUGUCAAGAAGCUUUGAUCCGUAGAUUUCCGAAUGGGGCAACCCAAUGUAUAGAGAUAUACAUUACCUAAUAUAGGAGCGAACGAGGGGAAUUGAAACAUCUUAGUACCCUCAGGAAAAGAAAUCAAUAGAGAUUGCGUCAGUAGCGGCGAGCGAAAGCGCAAGAGGGCAAACCCAGUGCUUGCACUGGGGGUUGUAGGACUGCAAUGUGCAAGAGGUGAGUUUAGCAGAACAUUCUGGAAAGUAUAGCCAUAGAGGGUGAUAGUCCCGUAUGCGAAAAACAAACCUUAGCUAGCAGUAUCCUGAGUAGGGCGGGACACGAGAAAUCCUGUCUGAAGCUGGGUCGACCACGAUCCAACCCUAAAUACUAAUACCAGAUCGAUAGUGCACAAGUACCGUGAGGGAAAGGUGAAAAGAACUGAGGUGAUCAGAGUGAAAUAGAACCUGAAACCAUUUGCUUACAAUCAUUCAGAGCACUAUGUAGCAAUACAGUGUGAUGGACUGCCUUUUGCAUAAUGAGCCUGCGAGUUGUGGUGUCUGGCAAGGUUAAGCAAACGCGAAGCCGUAGCGAAAGCGAGUCUGAAUAGGGCGCUUAGUCAGAUGCUGCAGACCCGAAACGAAGUGAUCUAUCCAUGAGCAAGUUGAAGCUAGUGUAAGAACUAGUGGAGGACUGAACCCAUAGGCGUUGAAAAGCCCCGGGAUGACUUGUGGAUAGGGGUGAAAGGCCAAUCAAACUUCGUGAUAGCUGGUUCUCUCCGAAAUAUAUUUAGGUAUAGCGUUGUGUCGUAAUAUAAGGGGGUAGAGCACUGAAUGGGCUAGGGCAUACACCAAUGUACCAAACCCUAUCAAACUCCGAAUACCUUAUAUGUAAUCACAGCAGUCAGGCGGCGAGUGAUAAAAUCCGUCGUCAAGAGGGAAACAACCCAGACUACCAGCUAAGGUCCCUAAAUCUUACUUAAGUGGAAAACGAUGUGAAGUUACUUAAACAACCAGGAGGUUGGCUUAGAAGCAGCCAUCCUUUAAAGAAAGCGUAAUAGCUCACUGGUCUAGUGAUUUUGCGCGGAAAAUAUAACGGGGCUAAAGUAAGUACCGAAGCUGUAGACUUGACUUUGUCAAGUGGUAGGAGAGCGUUCUAUUUGCGUCGAAGGUAUACCGGUAAGGAGUGCUGGAGCGAAUAGAAGUGAGCAUGCAGGCAUGAGUAGCGAUAAUUAAUGUGAGAAUCAUUAACGCCGUAAACCCAAGGUUUCCUACGCGAUGCUCGUCAUCGUAGGGUUAGUCGGGUCCUAAGUCGAGUCCGAAAGGGGUAGACGAUGGCAAAUUGGUUAAUAUUCCAAUACCAACAUUAGUGUGCGAUGGAAGGACGCUUAGGGCUAAGGGGGCUAGCGGAUGGAAGUGCUAGUCUAAGGUCGUAGGUGCUUAUACAGGCAAAUCCGUAUAAGAAUACACCGAGAACUGAAAGGCUUUUUGAAGUCUUCGGAUGGAUAGAAGAACCCCUGAUGCCGUCGAGCCAAGAAAAGUUUCUAAGUUUAGCUAAUGUUGCCCGUACCGUAAACCGACACAGGUGGGUGGGAUGAGUAUUCUAAGGCGCGUGGAAGAACUCUCUUUAAGGAACUCUGCAAAAUAGCACCGUAUCUUCGGUAUAAGGUGUGGUUCGCUUCGUAUUAGGAUUUACUCCGAAAGCGAAGAAACUUACAACAAAGAGUCCCUCCCGACUGUUUACCAAAAACACAGCACUCUGCUAACUCGUAAGAGGAUGUAUAGGGUGUGACGCCUGCCCGGUGCUCGAAGGUUAAUUGAUGGGGUUAGCAUUAGCGAAGCUCUUGAUCGAAGCCCGAGUAAACGGCGGCCGUAACUAUAACGGUCCUAAGGUAGCGAAAUUCCUUGUCGGUUAAAUACCGACCUGCAUGAAUGGCGUAACGAGAUGGGAGCUGUCUCAAAGAGGGAUCCAGUGAAAUUGUAGUGGAGGUGAAAAUUCCUCCUACCCGCGGCAAGACGGAAAGACCCCGUGGACCUUUACUACAGCUUGACACUGCUAUUUGGAUAAGAAUGUGCAGGAUAGGUGGGAGGCUUUGAGUAUAUGACGCCAGUUGUAUAUGAGCCAUUGUUGAGAUACCACUCUUUCUUAUUUGGGUAGCUAACCAGCUUGAGUUAUCCUCAAGUGGGACAAUGUCUGGUGGGUAGUUUGACUGGGGCGGUCGCCUCCCAAAUAAUAACGGAGGCUUACAAAGGUUGGCUCAGAACGGUUGGAAAUCGUUCGUAGAGUAUAAAGGUAUAAGCCAGCUUAACUGCAAGACAUACAAGUCAAGCAGAGACGAAAGUCGGUCUUAGUGAUCCGGUGGUUCUGUGUGGAAGGGCCAUCGCUCAAAGGAUAAAAGGUACCCCGGGGAUAACAGGCUGAUCUCCCCCAAGAGCUCACAUCGACGGGGAGGUUUGGCACCUCGAUGUCGGCUCAUCGCAUCCUGGGGCUGGAGCAGGUCCCAAGGGUAUGGCUGUUCGCCAUUUAAAGCGGUACGCGAGCUGGGUUCAGAACGUCGUGAGACAGUUCGGUCCCUAUCUGCCGUGGGCGUAAGAAGAUUGAAGAGAUUUGACCCUAGUACGAGAGGACCGGGUUGAACAAACCACUGGUGUAGCUGUUGUUCUGCCAAGAGCAUCGCAGCGUAGCUAAGUUUGGAAAGGAUAAACGCUGAAAGCAUCUAAGCGUGAAGCCAACUCUAAGAUGAAUCUUCUCUAAGCUCUCUAGAAGACUACUAGUUUGAUAGGCUGGGUGUGUAAUGGAUGAAAGUCCUUUAGCUGACCAGUACUAAUAGAGCGUUUGGCUUAUCUUUA
Molecule: ribosomal RNA, 2908 nt
Filed under: Campylobacter coli
Lineage: Bacteria; Pseudomonadati; Campylobacterota; Epsilonproteobacteria; Campylobacterales; Campylobacteraceae
Description: bacterial LSU rRNA
Rfam family: Bacterial large subunit ribosomal RNA
Source: RNAcentral